UUCUUCAUUUUGCUUAUAUUUUUCUCUUUCUGUGAGUUUAGGGAAAUCAAGUACUGUGGUUUUGGAGGGCUGUUUACGUGCAAGAGUACCCCUGGGUAUUUUGUGAGGGCUUACUACUUAUUUUUGAUAUGAGCGUUUGGAUACUUGCUGUCUCUUUCCUCAGUGUGAGCAGGCUGUUAUCCCUUUGAUAGGUUGCUGCGUGUGCACUGGGGGAGAAGAAGGCCAUGGGCAUGGCUAGUAGUCAGUGCCUGGUUGCUGGGCCCUUGACUGUAGGAAGGACCCCCAGGAAGGUGGCACAUGCUGCUCCUAGUUGCAGGGCCCUGGGAAGUGGCAGUGAGCCUCAGGCACUUUUAGGCAGGGCCUGGAUCAUGUGGCAGUGGCAGCAGUAGGGUGUGUUCAUUCCCAGGUGAGUGAGAGCAAUAGCGGGUGGUACUUGGUUGCAUUGUGCUUACCUGUGCCAGCUUCUAAGGUGACUGGGGCCACAGGUGGUGCCUGCUCAUGGACACCUAGUGGUGAUGGGCCAUGGCCUCUAGAGUCAGAGAUAACUGUGGUGUUUUGCCCCCACUGCCUGUAGACCACACAAGAAGCACCCCAUCCCGCUUAGCCCACACAUGAGGUAUUGCCACGCAUAGCCGGUGCAAGAGGGGCCACCCUACCCUCUGAGAGCCCAUGCAUGUGCAGAGAAAGAUAUUUCUGUGGUGGUCCACCCCUACUCCUCUUGUGUUCCCUAACAAUGGCACCUUGCCUCUCCUGUGGGCCCAGACCUCCUCCUGGGCUCCCUUGGCUGUGGUGCUCCACUCCCUAGCUUCCUCAGGCUGUCUCCACAUUGGCAACCCUAGUCCUUUCCCUGGAACUGACCUCUAGAGCCUGAGUCUCAGCACCCAGCCCAAACCCGAGCAUCUCAAACCGUGGUGUCCUGGGGGGUGGUACUGAUGGUCUUUGUGGCUCUGUCUCUAUUUUGCCCUCUUCAGUCCAGUUGCUGCACUUUUCUCUGUGGCUUUGAGGUCCCUCCAUUUCAGCUGAUCUCCCUGUUAGUUAGGUGGCUUUCCGGGGUGUGGGCUCCUUUCCCCUUUCUCAGCCCUCUCAAGAGUGCUAGUCCCAUCCAGAUUCCUUCUCUCUCUCUCUUUUUCCCUUUUGUUCUACCCUGUUAUGUGGAGGGUUUCUUGCCCUUUUUGGAGGCUUAAGGUCUUCUGCCAGCAUUUAGUAGGUGUUCUGUGUGAAUUGCUUUAUGUGUAGAUUUUUAUUUUUUAUGUGUGUGGGUGAAGGCGAGAGCCACAUCUAACUUGUCUCUGCCGUCUUGAUUGGACCUGUGGACCUCCUGCCGUUUAAUGUAAUUGCAACAGAGAAAGUCAAGCUGUAGCUGAGUCCCAAAUCAUUAUAUUGUAACUGAGUCCCAAGUCAUUAUUUCCUUGCUCAUUGGCUGGAUCUGGAGAAUUGUCAAAUUUCUUCCAUAUUAUGAAAAAACUCGCCAUGGCCUCUAGCAAUAAAGCAGUGUCUUCUUUUCCAGGUUUUUGAGUGGGCAGGUUUUUAAACAAAACCAUUAACAUUUUUCACAAGAAUUAUUUUCUUUACCGUUUUUGUGUCUACCUUAUUAAUAAUUCAUUUAGACGCCAGCGAGGUUUGUCAGAAACAGCUUCACAGGACAGCACCCUUCCUGAAGAUGAGAGGUACUCAUCACACUCCCUUCCUCAGGUGGUGGUGACAAGGUCCUCUGCCUUAGUCAUCCUGAUGUCCCAACCAGGCUGCUUGUCUGCACCAGGAAGGCUGACCUGCAGUGGACCCAGGUGGAUUUCCUGGGAUUCACUAGUGUAUGAAAUCUAGCUUUUGUACUUCCCUUGAUAGCAUCACACCAGUUCAUGGUGCAUGAUAUAGAAAAGGUCAAAUUGAUCUCCUCUUUGGACUGUAUUGAAUAACUGUGUUGGUUUUGUUGACUCAGAAAAACUGAUUCCACACUUUUCCCCUUAGUCUCUCAUAAAAGCCUAGUGGUUUUACAACAGGAAGUCUUCACCAAGAAAAAGCAAAACCUGAAACACAGAUUAUGGAAUAAGAAAAGAAACAUCUCAAAAAAUUUUGACUCGCCUUCAUUUCUUUAAGGUUAUCAAUCUUUGGAAGGCCUAGAGUUGGGAGGAAAAUACAGAGAGGACAAAAAUUGCAGUAGGCAUGAGGUUUACAGGUCAUAUUCCUUUAAAGGUGCAUCUUCAAACAAAAUAGACUUGAGAUACCUAUUUUUGCUUUGACCAGAGAAAAGCCACAGUCACUUUGGUGUAUAUGACAUCAUCUAAGAAAAAUAGCACCUGCUUUGAUAAGUCCUUAUAUGAUAUAAGCUGUGCCAGUAGUUUGAAUGAGUGGCCUCUUAGGGUUCAACUUCAUGAGCUUCUUAAGAUUCUUUGGGUCCUUGGACUUAGUCGUAAUGGACUUAAGAGUUUCAGUUUGUUAUGUAUGAGCUGGUAAACACUUUACCUACAUGAUCUCAUUUAAUUCCCACCAGCAUCCCUUUAUUGUUGUUGGUAUAUUCCAGUUUUCACUAUGAUUGAGAGUAGGUUUAGGGCCUUACCCUCCCUGCUAAUAUCCAUGAAGGUUGGUCCUAAGCCCCAUCUCAGUGCAAUAUUUGGCUAAUGGAAUUUCCAUUCCAGGUUUAGAUUUUCAUUCUCUACAAACUAAAGAAUUAUUCUGAAUUGUGAUAAAUCAGUAUAUACUCUCAAGUGAAAUAUUUCAUCCACCAAUUUUUUUUUUUAUAUUUCUUCAUGUGGAUUCAUAAGAAUUUGGAUAGAAUUCCUAAAUGCUAUGCUCCAAGUAGGCUAUAAGCACAGCAGCAUAAUGAUGGCCUUUAUUUCUUGAUACUUUAGGACUUGGGUCACUUGCUUCUUGGUCACCAUGUUUCUUUCCCCCCAACAUUGUCUCUGUGACAUAGUGUGACAGAGGCACAGAGGCACUGGCCAUGGGGAGGUGGGCUGUCAGAUGAGCCUAAAUUCCAACUAGAUAUGGGCAGGGAGAACUGAGUGUCUAGUCUAGGUUAUGCUCCUUGGAAUUCCUGGGAGUGUGGAAGGAAGAAAUGAGAUUGACCUCAAGGAAGGGAUAUUUGUUGUGUACCAGAAUUUUCCGUUUCCUUCUUCAGAGAGUUGACUCUUUGCUUACAUAGUAUUUUUGUCUUCUACCAACUUGUAUAAAGAGUUUGAGACAGCUGGCAAGAAAAGGUUCACAAAUGUAUGUACAUAGAUAUAUAUCAAUGUAAACCCAUACAUUGUGUUUUACUUCCCUUGUUUUUGUAAUACCCAGUCCACUAUGAGGCUGGGUAUAGUAUGACCUACGAGUAGAGACAAAACUCUUGCAGAAAGCCUCUUUGAACUGCUUCAGAAUUUAGGGCAUGAGAUCUAACGGACUUAACCUAACUAGGGAGCUUCUGAGAGCAACAGUUACCCACUGGUCCUUAUGGCUACCAAGGAAAAACACUGACAGAGCUCCCCUGGAGCUCUGCUUCUUCUGGGUUGUGCCCGCAGCAUGUAGAAGUUUCCAGGCCAGGAUAGAGCCCUUCAUUUUGAUCUUAGGUCUGCUUCCCAAGUAACCUGCCAGGCUGUGUUAGUCAUAAAAGGCUCUCACCUGGAGAGAGCCAGAUUAUUGAAACUGGUGAUUUUCCAAUCAAAUGACGUGAGUCUGCUAAAAAACUAUAACUUGGGUUUUUUUCACAAUUGACAUUUCAUUGGUUUUUUUUUCCUUGUCAAGUAAUGAUGGCAGAUGAGUGACUUUACUUAAGACCAGACGCAGAAGCAACCAGAA
This 3774-nucleotide long non-coding RNA is filed under the name Sus scrofa (pig). Its description in RNAcentral is "lncRNA (ENSSSCG00005005964.1)". The record is from RNAcentral. Lineage: Eukaryota; Metazoa; Chordata; Mammalia; Artiodactyla; Suidae.